Molecule: ribosomal RNA, 253 nt
Filed under: uncultured prokaryote
Description: partial 16S ribosomal RNA
Rfam family: Bacterial small subunit ribosomal RNA
Source: RNAcentral
UACGAAGGGGGCUAGCGUUGCUCGGAAUUACUGGGCGUAAAGGGAGCGUAGGCGGGUCGUUAAGUUGGGGGUGAAAGCCCGGGGCUCAACCUCGGAAUUGCCUUCAAAACUGGCGACCUAGAGUAUGGCAGAGGUGUGUGGAACUCCGAGUGUAGAGGUGAAAUUCGUAGAUAUUCGGAAGAACACCAGUGGCGAAGGCGACACACUGGGCCAUUACUGACGCUGAGGCUCGAAAGCGUGGGGAGCAAACAGG